CAGUGGAAUAUUCAAGGUGUUCAUUUCAUUGGUGAUUUACUUAACACAAAAUGCUGUUGCAUUCCAAACUCCAAAAAACUAGUGCAAAGGAAGGAGAAAACGACACAUCGUGAAGUUGCAUUGGAUCUAUCACCAACAACAGUGACAGGAACCGCAGUGUAGCACUAGCAGCAGAAACAGGAGCAGCAACAUCAAAAAUGAUAGCAUUGGACAUUUAAAGCCCCAAAGCAGGAUAUUGAUAUGAUGUCCUACUCUGAGACCACUUGCUUAAGACAGACAGGGUAUUGGCUAGCUACGGAGCUACUUGUUGCAUGGUGCCAUGAAUAAAACAACAGUUCAGCCAGAGCUGCUAGUGGACCAAACAAUGAUCUCACAGUACGGAAAUGAUAUCAGUGGUGAUGAUUCUUUUCUGGCCACAACUCAACAUUCCUGGAGAAGGUGCUCGCUCUGGUUGGAGGAAGAAAGGAAUGUUCGAGUUAUUAACGGCCAAAUAUUGUUAAGCAUCCAUCAUGUAUGCGGUGUGUUGAAACCAAUAGCAGAUUGUUGUCGUUCGUCCUUCAAUGUACAGGUAAUAAUAUACGUGGUACAUAUAUGUCUCAUUAUGUGAAGGAACUACGGCGUCACUUGCCGGCCAGCCCCAGCUACAACAAAAUGGAUCAUUGCAUGCAUUGGGCGCUCACAUUUUGUCCAGAAUAUAUUAUUGUUUCAUAUGGAGAGAAAGGCAGAUGGCUGUUUGCCUGUUACUCCGGCUGGCUAGAAGUCACGUUUCCUGGCGAUGGGGAUUCUGUUGAUCUGCAGCAACGUGCUUGCUGCUUGGCUGCUUGCUGCUAUAUAUGUCGAAAGUGCCCAAACUUUUGUGCAGGAAAUUCAUGAUCGUGUAAACUGUGAUUCUGUGAACGGUGUCUGCUUUUACAUUUCCAGUUCCCAUCCGCCAUCUCGUGGCUUGUGACUUGUGAGACAUGGACACCAGCAGCCUGCUCGGCCGCUCUCAGCAACCAGGAGUGGGAUCCUCAACCUCUACUGGACAACGACAACUAGAUGAGUCGUAUCUGGAGGACAAGAUACUGCGAAAGCUACAUGGUGAAAGAAAGAAGGUGGCUGUGCAUCUUCUUCAAAUUGCUAUAUUGAGUUUUAGACAGUAUGCUUAGAUAAUGCAACAAAACAUAUUAUUGUUAUAUAGUUCUGGUCCCCAAUCCCUAUUGCUUAAUUAA
Sorghum bicolor (sorghum) is the source of this 1211-nucleotide long non-coding RNA. RefSeq lists it as uncharacterized. The record is from RefSeq and is a predicted model, not a curated record. The transcript has 7 exons. NCBI's taxonomy places the organism in Eukaryota, Viridiplantae, Streptophyta, Magnoliopsida, Poales, Poaceae.